Molecule: ribosomal RNA, 159 nt
Filed under: Cladosporium herbarum
Lineage: Eukaryota; Fungi; Ascomycota; Dothideomycetes; Cladosporiales; Cladosporiaceae
Description: 5.8S ribosomal RNA
Rfam family: 5.8S ribosomal RNA
About the family: 5.8S ribosomal RNA (5.8S rRNA) is a component of the large subunit of the eukaryotic ribosome.
Source: RNAcentral
UAAAACUUUUAACAACGGAUCUCUUGGUUCUGGCAUCGAUGAAGAACGCAGCGAAAUGCGAUAAGUAAUGUGAAUUGCAGAAUUCAGUGAAUCAUCGAAUCUUUGAACGCACAUUGCGCCCCCUGGUAUUCCGGGGGGCAUGCCUGUUCGAGCGUCAUU